UACGAAGGGGGCUAGCGUUGUUCGGAAUCACUGGGCGUAAAGGGCGCGUAGGCGGCUAUGCAAGUCAGGCGUGAAAGCCCCGGGCUCAACCCGGGAAUUGCGCUUGAUACUGUGUGGCUUGAGUCCGGGAGAGGAUGGCGGAAGUCCCAGUGUAGAGGUGAAAUUCGUAGAUAUUGGGAAGAACACCGGUGGCGAAGGCGGCCAUCUGGACCGGUACUGACGCUGAGGCGCGAAAGCGUGGGGAGCAAACAGG
This 253-nucleotide ribosomal RNA is filed under the name uncultured bacterium. RNAcentral describes it as "partial 16S ribosomal RNA". It matches the Rfam family "Bacterial small subunit ribosomal RNA", at positions 524 to 776 of the family's 1533-position model. The record is from RNAcentral.